RNAcentral lists this ribosomal RNA (489 nucleotides) under uncultured bacterium. RNAcentral's name for it is "bacterial SSU rRNA". It matches the Rfam family "Bacterial small subunit ribosomal RNA", at positions 28 to 509 of the family's 1533-position model. The record is from RNAcentral.
GACUAACGCUGGCGGCGUGCCUAAUACAUGCAAGUCGAACGGGAUUCUUUGAUCAGCUUGCUGAGAGAAGGAUCUAGUGGCGGACGGGUGAGUAACGCGUGGGAAUCUGCCUCUUACUGGGGGAUAACAGUGGGAAACUACUGCUAAUACCGCAUAAGAUCUUCGGAUGAAAGGUGCAACUGCACCGGUAAGAGAUGAGCCCGCGUCCCAUUAGCUAGUUGGUGAGGUAAAGGCUCACCAAGGCGACGAUGGGUAGCCGGCCUGAGAGGGUGAACGGCCACACUGGGACUGAGACACGGCCCAGACUCCUACGGGAGGCAGCAGUAGGGAAUCUUCCGCAAUGGGCGCAAGCCUGACGGAGCGACGCCGCGUGAGUGAUGAAGGCCUUCGGGUACGUAAGCUCUGUUCUUGAGGACGAAUAAGCCAGGGAGUGGAAACGCCCUGGUGAUGACUGUACUCAAGGAGAAAGCUCCGGCUAACUACGUCGCC